Molecule: unclassified non-coding RNA, 392 nt
Filed under: soil metagenome
Description: partial contains 5.8S ribosomal RNA, internal transcribed spacer 2, and large subunit ribosomal RNA
Rfam family: 5.8S ribosomal RNA (bases 1-122)
Source: RNAcentral
GAUGAAGAACGUAGCGAAAUGCGAUACUUGGUGUGAAUUGCAGAAUCCCGUGAACCAUCGAGUCUUUGAACGCAAGUUGCGCCCGAAGCCAUUAGGCCGAGGGCACGCCUGCCUGGGCGUCACACGUCGUUGCCCCCCCCAUCUACUCCUUCGGGAUUGCGGGGGGCGGAUGAUGGCCUCCCGUGCGCCUCGCCGCGCGGUUGGCAUAAAUGCCAAGUCCUCGGCGACGCACGCCACGACAAUCGGUGGUUGUGAAACCUCGGUUGCCCGUCGUGUGCGGUCGUCGCGCAUCGAGGGCUCGAAAAAAUUGCCGAGUUCCGGCUCGGCUUUCAACGCGACCCCAGGUCAGGCGGGGUUACCCGCUGAAUUUAAGCAUAUCAAUAAGCGGAGGA